RNAcentral lists this RNase P RNA (351 nucleotides) under Marinobacter daqiaonensis. RNAcentral's name for it is "Marinobacter sp. YCSA40 Bacterial RNase P class A". It matches the Rfam family "Bacterial RNase P class A". Rfam says of the family: Ribonuclease P (RNase P) is a ubiquitous endoribonuclease, found in archaea, bacteria and eukarya as well as chloroplasts and mitochondria. Its best characterised activity is the generation of mature 5'-ends of tRNAs by cleaving the 5'-leader elements of precursor-tRNAs. Lineage: Bacteria; Pseudomonadati; Pseudomonadota; Gammaproteobacteria; Pseudomonadales; Marinobacteraceae. The record is from Rfam by way of RNAcentral.
UGAGCUCGCCAGACAGCCGCCGCCGGCCCAGCCGGGGGAGGAAAGUCCGGGCUCCGCAGGGCAAGGUGCCAGGUAACGCCUGGGCGGCGUGAGCCGACGGAAAGUGCAACAGAAAGCAGACCGCCUAAGCGCCUUCGGGCGCCGGUAAGGGUGAAACGGUGCGGUAAGAGCGCACCGCGUGGCUGGCAACAGUCCACGGCGAUGGUAAACCCCACCUGGAGCAAGACCAAAUAGGAGUCCUAUGGCGUGGCCCGCGCUGGACUCGGGUAGGUUGCUUGAGGCCUGUGGUGACGCAGGCCCUAGAUGAAUGGCUGUCCUCGACAGAACCCGGCUUAUCGGCGAGCUCACUCU